CUUAUUUUGAACGGAAGAGAAGUUGCAUCUCCAUGACGCACAAUCCUCGCCUCCCUUUCCUCUAUCCACAAUCUGCAUCGACCACCGACACCAUCCUUACCUUGCCUUCCGUCCGCCGGCGCUGCUCCAACGCAUGUAUGUAUACCAACACAAGCCUCUAAUACUUACAAUUUCAUCUUUGCUUCGAUUUUAGGUUGUUGAAAUGGUUGUGGUAUGGGAAACUAUUCAAAUGGAGUGGGUGGUGGUGUUGUGCAUGGUGGAAGAGUGGGUACUGGAUUGUAUCAUGGAAGGCUGAGUGAAGGUGGUACCACAUAUGCCAAACCUUCUCUUUCCCUCUUUAUCUAUUACCGGAGGCCAUGGUGUCCUUGUUGGUGGUGUUUCAUUUCCACUGGUCCAAAAUUGGCACAGGAGAUGACUAUGUCCCUCUUGCAAUGAUAAAUACUACUAACAGCACCUGUUAGGCUUCCUAUUCUUAAAAUUUAAUACUUAUUCACUUACUUCAUUUGUGGCUUCUAAGUUAUUCAUCAAGUGUUUACACUCCACACCAUAUUACACUUAUAUGUGUACGUUUGCAGGAAUGUCCAAUUGGCAUUUUUAAAGAUAUGGAAGAAACUAAUGAUCAAGUUAUUAUUUCAGACACACAUUCAUGUAAUGCCUUAAGGGCAUGAGAUUGUUUCUGAGAUGUGGAAGAAACUAAUGACCAUGUGAAGAUUGAUGGGACACAUGAAAAUGAAACUAAGGAUGUAGUGGUUUUAGGUAAAGCAUGCAUCAGAAAAUAAACUUACAAGGGCAACACUACUUGAGCAAACAUUUAUCGGUUUCAAAAACACGAGCAUCCAAAGAUUCAAUGAAACCUAGAACAAGUGGAAAGAAAGGUUUAGUAAUGAAAACAAGAAAAGAAGUCACCAAAAACCUUCUACUCCCUUACCUUGUUUGGGGGUAAGUAAUCUUCUAAAUUUUCAUUUUACAACAGUAUAAGUAAUCUUCUAUUUUUCUUAAUCAUUUAUUUUCAGACACUCAAUUUAAUCUCAUUUGCAUUAAUUGGUUUUCUUGAAAAAAAAACUGUUCGAUGAAACGACCUCAAGGUAAAAGUUUCUUUUGCUAAUCUUAUGUCUUUGUUAGUAAAAGUUGUAUGCCCUACGAAAAUAAACCACAAUACUUGGUUUUAUUACUAUCAUCAUUAGCCAAAGUAGCAAUCUCUAUAAAAACUUGAAGGUUAUGAUCCAUUGGUGGUAAGUCUUGUAAAUUUUUUGUCCAAUGGUUUAUAUGUUCAUGUCAUUUUUAUUCCCAUUAUUUCUACUUCUCUGCAAAGUAGAUGUGCCAAUCUACAGACCCAGUAGGAUGUAUAAAUGGUUGGACAGGUGAUCGACUGAACUUCCCUCACUCAAAAGCAAAUGGUACUGUAGAAGUAUUGCAUCUUAGACGUUGCAGGUUGGAAGUAUGUGAAUAAUUCUAUAGUAUCCAUUCAAAGAAAAACUACAUCCAAAAAUCAUAUUGUUGAAAUAUCAUUUGAUCGGAAAACAAAAUACCAAUCUGAGUUCGGAAAUGUUGUAGCAUUCCAGCAGGCAUUCUAAACAAUUUCUU
Non-coding RNA from Lactuca sativa (garden lettuce), 1584 nucleotides. The record is from RefSeq and is a predicted model, not a curated record. Lineage: Eukaryota; Viridiplantae; Streptophyta; Magnoliopsida; Asterales; Asteraceae.